Molecule: ribosomal RNA, 318 nt
Filed under: Aspergillus flavus
Lineage: Eukaryota; Fungi; Ascomycota; Eurotiomycetes; Eurotiales; Aspergillaceae
Description: partial large subunit ribosomal RNA
Rfam family: Eukaryotic large subunit ribosomal RNA
Source: RNAcentral
GACCGAUAGCGAACAAGUAGAGUGAUCGAAAGAUGAAAAGCACUUUGAAAAGAGAGUUAAAAAGCACGUGAAAUUGUUGAAAGGGAAGCGCUUGCGACCAGACUCGCCUCCAGGGUUCAGCCGGCAUUCGUGCCGGUGUACUUCCCUGGGGGCGGGCCAGCGUCGGUUUGGGCGGCCGGUCAAAGGCUCCCGGAAUGUAGUGCCCUCCGGGGCACCUUAUAGCCGGGAGUGCAAUGCGGCCAGCCUGACCGAGCAACGCGCCCGGCACGGACGCUGGCAUAAUGGUCGUAAACGACCCGUCUUGAAACACGGACCAAG